AAAAAAACCUUUAAGCUAUGCAAUCAGAGGAAUGCAACACAAACAAUAGCAUUUGAAAUUAUUUUUCUGACUCGAUUUCUAGAAAACUGAUGAAAUGAAUAGUAAAAAUAAAAAAAAUAUACCCUCCCAUGUGCAAUGCCUCACUUAAAAUUCCAUAGAGCCACCGCCACGACUGCUAAUCCUAGGUAUAUGAAGUAUAAAAUGCACUUUUCAACUCCACUUAAGAAAUUCCCUUGGAUUUGUUGGUUCUUACCGUAGCCCAAGUUGUUCAUCAUAUAGCUGGUUAUGAAUUGUUUUCCCUGAAUUUUAAGAGGCAAGAAUCACAAAUCGAAAAACUACAGAAAAAUAAAAAAUCCAAAAGGGGAAAAGUACGAAAGAGGUUACUAAGAGCACCUGUUCCAACCUGUUUAGAAUAUCUCCCCUUGCUCGAGAAAGGCCCUAUUCUCCCAAUGGGAAACUAUAGACCUGCUUUGACGGACAUAGAAUUAAGCUUCUUCUUCAAACUUCAUGAGACAAGCUUUGACCUCAUAGAUCUGUGGCAUUAUUGUUGUUGUAGUGAUCAUCUUCCCAGCAAAACAUUGAGGCGGACAUGACUGACCCUCUGCAGGUUUGGGAGUUGAAAAUGUAAAGGAGAUAAAAGCCUAUCAUGUGAGGUGGGCAGGAGGUUAA
This 669-nucleotide unclassified non-coding RNA is filed under the name Hevea brasiliensis (rubber tree). The record is from RNAcentral. Lineage: Eukaryota; Viridiplantae; Streptophyta; Magnoliopsida; Malpighiales; Euphorbiaceae.